This 253-nucleotide ribosomal RNA is filed under the name uncultured bacterium. RNAcentral describes it as "partial 16S ribosomal RNA". It matches the Rfam family "Bacterial small subunit ribosomal RNA", at positions 524 to 776 of the family's 1533-position model. The record is from RNAcentral.
UACGUAGGGUGCAAGCGUUGUCCGGAAUUAUUGGGCGUAAAGAGCUCGUAGGCGGUCUGUCGCGUCUGCUGUGAAAACCUGGGGCUUAACCCCGGGCCUGCAGUGGGUACGGGCAGACUAGAGUGUGGUAGGGGAGACUGGAAUUCCUGGUGUAGCGGUGAAAUGCGCAGAUAUCAGGAGGAACACCGGUGGCGAAGGCGGUUCUCUGGGCCUGUACUGACGCUGAGGAGCGAAAGCGUGGGGAGCGAACAGG